GACGAACGCUGGCGGCGUGGAUUAGGCAUGCAAGUCGAACGGUAUCAUCCUUUCGGGGGUGAGAGAGUGGCGAACUGGUGAGUAACACGUAGGUUAUCUACCCUCAAGACGGGGACAACCCAGGGAAACUUGGGCUAAUACCGGAUGUGAGCAACUUUUAGUUGUUUGAAAGGUGGCGUAAGCUGUCGCUUGGGGAUGAGCCUGCGUCCUAUUAGUUAGUUGGUGAGGUAACGGCUCACCUAGGCAAUGAUAGGUAGGCGGCCUUAACGGGUGGUCGCCCACACUGGGAUUGAGAUACGGCCCAGACUCCUACGGGAGGCAGCAGUCGAGAAUAGUCUACAAUGGUCGGAAGACUGAUAGUGCGACGCCGCGUGAACGAUGAAUCCCUUCGGGGUGUAAAGUUCUUUUAUAUGUGAGCAGUGCUUCUUAUAUUAACAGUAUGGGGAGAGAGAUAUUAGCAUAUGAAUAAGCAACGGCUAACUCCGUGCCAGCAGCCGCGU
Molecule: ribosomal RNA, 500 nt
Filed under: uncultured bacterium
Lineage: Bacteria
Description: bacterial SSU rRNA
Rfam family: Bacterial small subunit ribosomal RNA
Source: RNAcentral